This is a long non-coding RNA of Megachile rotundata (alfalfa leafcutting bee), 437 nucleotides long. RefSeq lists it as uncharacterized. The record is from RefSeq and is a predicted model, not a curated record. NCBI's taxonomy places the organism in Eukaryota, Metazoa, Arthropoda, Insecta, Hymenoptera, Megachilidae.
GCGAAGAGUGGGUCACGACCUAUUGAUGAGUCACGAGAAGACUUUGGGUCGGGUCACGCCAAAUAUUAAGAUAUAAAAUGCUUGAAAGUGGAAAUUUUGGGGACAUAUAUUUGUAGGGAUAUUAGUCCUUAAAGUCGUUUUACACCCUAGGGAAAACUAACGCGCCCGUAGCGUUUAUGACAUUUUAAGUAUCGAUGGUUGCAGUACUCUUUGAUUAAAGGACAACAUGGGAUUGCUCAAGUUCUCAAGAGCCAUUGCCAAGUACAUUCUUUACAACAUCGAUAAUCGAUAUAUCAUAGUUUUGUUUAGUUUAUACAAUGUACAUACAUAGUGCCUAGCUAUGACUCCUGUAAUUUGCUCCAUCGUGAUAAAAUAUUCAGAGGGAGAAUCUUCUAUUGUAAUGCUCUUUGAUUGAAUAAACUGAAUUGUUGACUUAA